RNAcentral lists this ribosomal RNA (580 nucleotides) under Micrococcus endophyticus. Its description in RNAcentral is "bacterial SSU rRNA". It matches the Rfam family "Bacterial small subunit ribosomal RNA", at positions 770 to 1347 of the family's 1533-position model. Lineage: Bacteria; Bacillati; Actinomycetota; Actinomycetes; Micrococcales; Micrococcaceae. The record is from RNAcentral.
GAACAGGAUUAGAUACCCUGGUAGUCCAUGCCGUAAACGUUGGGCACUAGGUGUGGGGACCAUUCCACGGUUUCCGCGCCGCAGCUAACGCAUUAAGUGCCCCGCCUGGGGAGUACGGCCGCAAGGCUAAAACUCAAAGGAAUUGACGGGGGCCCGCACAAGCGGCGGAGCAUGCGGAUUAAUUCGAUGCAACGCGAAGAACCUUACCAAGGCUUGACAUGUUCUCGAUCGCCGUAGAGAUACGGUUUCCCCUUUGGGGCGGGAUCACAGGUGGUGCAUGGUUGUCGUCAGCUCGUGUCGUGAGAUGUUGGGUUAAGUCCCGCAACGAGCGCAACCCUCGUUCCAUGUUGCCAGCACGUAAUGGUGGGGACUCAUGGGAGACUGCCGGGGUCAACUCGGAGGAAGGUGGGGACGACGUCAAAUCAUCAUGCCCCUUAUGUCUUGGGCUUCACGCAUGCUACAAUGGCCGGUACAAUGGGUUGCGAUACUGUGAGGUGGAGCUAAUCCCAAAAAGCCGGUCUCAGUUCGGAUUGGGGUCUGCAACUCGACCCCAUGAAGUCGGAGUCGCUAGUAAUCGCAG